AUACGGAGGGAGCUAGCGUUGUUCGGAAUUACUGGGCGUAAAGCGCGCGUAGGCGGCUUUGCAAGUAGAGGGUGAAAUCCCAGGGCUUAACCCUGGAACUGCCUCCUAAACUGCAGAGCUAGAAUCCUGGAGAGGUGAGUGGAAUUCCUAGUGUAGAGGUGAAAUUCGUAGAUAGUAGGAAGAACACCAGUGGCGAAGGCGACUCACUGGACAGGUAUUGACGCUAAGGUGCGAAAGCGUGGGGAGCGAACAGGAGUAGAAACCCUAGUAGUCC
This 274-nucleotide ribosomal RNA is filed under the name uncultured bacterium. RNAcentral's name for it is "partial 16S ribosomal RNA". It matches the Rfam family "Bacterial small subunit ribosomal RNA", at positions 523 to 796 of the family's 1533-position model. The record is from RNAcentral.